AUUGAACGCUGGCGGCAGGCCUAACACAUGCAGGUCGAGCGGAUGAAGGGAGCUUGCUCCUGGAUUCAGCGGCGGACGGGUGAGUAAUGCCUAGGAAUCUGCCUGGUAGUGGGGGAUAACGUCCGGAAACGGGCGCUAAUACCGCAUACGUCCUGAGGGAGAAAGUGGGGGAUCUUCGGACCUCACGCUAUCAGAUGAGCCUAGGUCGGAUUAGCUAGUUGGUGGGGUAAAGGCCUACCAAGGCGACGAUCCGUAACUGGUCUGAUAGGAUGAUCAGUCACACUGGAACUGAGACACGGUCCAGACUCCUACGGGAGGCAGCAGUGGGGAAUAUUGGACAAUGGGCGAAAGCCUGAUCCAGCCAUGCCGCGUGUGUGAAGAAGGUCUUCGGAUUGUAAAGCACUUUAAGUUGGGAGGAAGGGCAGUAAGUUAAUACCUUGCUGUUUUGACGUUACCAACAGAAUAAGCACCGGCUAACUUCGUG
Molecule: ribosomal RNA, 484 nt
Filed under: uncultured bacterium
Lineage: Bacteria
Description: partial 16S ribosomal RNA
Rfam family: Bacterial small subunit ribosomal RNA
Source: RNAcentral